RNAcentral lists this ribosomal RNA (253 nucleotides) under uncultured bacterium. RNAcentral's name for it is "partial 16S ribosomal RNA". It matches the Rfam family "Bacterial small subunit ribosomal RNA", at positions 524 to 776 of the family's 1533-position model. The record is from RNAcentral.
UACGUAUGGUCCGAGCGUUGUCCGGAAUGACUGGGCGUAAAGGGUGUGUAGGCUGACACGUGUGUCAGGUGUGAAAUUCCUAGGCUUAACCUGGGAACUGCGCUUGAAACUGCGUGUCUAGAGCAUGUUAGGGGUAAGUGGAAUUCCCGGAGUAGCGGUGAAAUGCGUAGAGAUCGGGAAGAACACCAGUGGCGAAGGCGACUUACUGGGACAUGGCUGACGCUGAGGCACGAAAGCGUGGGGAGCGAACGGG